Molecule: ribosomal RNA, 633 nt
Filed under: uncultured bacterium
Lineage: Bacteria
Description: bacterial SSU rRNA
Rfam family: Bacterial small subunit ribosomal RNA (bases 1-542)
Source: RNAcentral
CCUACGGGAGGCAGCAGUGGGGAAUUUUGGACAAUGGGCGCAAGCCUGAUCCAGCAAUGCCGCGUGCAGGAUGAAGGCCUUCGGGUUGUAAACUGCUUUUGUACGGAACGAAAAAGUCUGCCCUAAUACGGUGGGCCCAUGACGGUACCGUAAGAAUAAGCACCGGCUAACUACGUGCCAGCAGCCGCGGUAAUACGUAGGGUGCGAGCGUUAAUCGGAAUUACUGGGCGUAAAGCGUGCGCAGGCGGUUAUAUAAGACAGAUGUGAAAUCCCCGGGCUCAACCUGGGACCUGCAUUUGUGACUGUAUAGCUAGAGUACGGUAGAGGGGGAUGGAAUUCCGCGUGUAGCAGUGAAAUGCGUAGAUAUGCGGAGGAACACCGAUGGCGAAGGCAAUCCCCUGGACCUGUACUGACGCUCAUGCACGAAAGCGUGGGGAGCAAACAGGAUUAGAUACCCUGGUAGUCCACGCCCUAAACGAUGUCAACUGGUUGUUGGGUCUUCACUGACUCAGUAACGAAGCUAACGCGUGAAGUUGACCGCCUGGGGAGGUACGGCCGCGAGUAGAACGUACGAAAGUAGAAGUUAGUACGGCGUGAGACGUAGACCGACGGACGACGACGAGGGAGGGAGGG